CAAAAUGAAAACUCUCCUCUUCUCAAAGACCACUCAAGAUGGACUCGAUUGGUUGAUAUCAACCUAGUACGGUGCCAUGCUUUGAAGCUGGACUCUUUUGGCCAGUUUAUUGAAUUAUUACCCAGCCUAGAGUUUAUUUCACUGGAUCAGAUGUUUCGUGAACCACCCAAGGGUUGUGCUCGAGUUGGUCUGAGUGCAGGCACAGGAAUUGGUGUUUCAUCAGCUCUUGUUAGCAACCAGAACUCCAACAAUGAUGAUAAUAAUGCCCAGAAUAACAAUGCCAACAUCCACGACAACAAUCACCAUCACCCAGAUGACUCAGACGAGGAGAAUGACUUUCGGCAAGAUCUACAGCCAGGAGAGCAGCAGUUUGCAGCUGACGGUAACCCAGAU
Molecule: small RNA, 393 nt
Filed under: Pongo abelii (Sumatran orangutan)
Lineage: Eukaryota; Metazoa; Chordata; Mammalia; Primates; Hominidae
Description: processed transcript
Source: RNAcentral